Octodon degus (degu) is the source of this 2099-nucleotide long non-coding RNA. RefSeq lists it as uncharacterized. The transcript has 4 exons. NCBI's taxonomy places the organism in Eukaryota, Metazoa, Chordata, Mammalia, Rodentia, Octodontidae. The record is from RefSeq and is a predicted model, not a curated record.
UCCCCUCGGCGGGGCUGAAUGAUCAAAACUGGUGGUGAGAAUUUUUCCGGACCGUUUCUAGGCAGCCCUCCCCCUCCACCGGUUGGGGGGGCCCUUCCUCCUUCUCCUCCCUUUUCCUCCCCCCCUCCUCCUCCAGCGUCUGGGCUGAGUGAUCAAAAUAGAGGAAGAUGGUUGUCGCCGCAAUCCAGGGCUUUGCAAGGCGCGGUUUAAUGGGCCGCCUGUCAGCUUCCUGCUCGCUGGAGGAGGUGACAAGCCGAGCGAGCCGGGAAGGGCCUGGGGCCUGACGGGCUGCACCCGCGCCCCUGCCCGCACCUCCCCUGGGGUGCGCCUCCAGAACGCACGGGGGAGACGCCAAAACAGACAAGGGCUGCUUUUUUCUUUUCCAUUUUUUCUUCCUUUUAAAACAAAGCGGCGAUUCAUUCCCUCUCCCCCAGCAGCGCCUUCGGGUGGGAUGGGCAGGCGAGAAGGCCGUUUUCCUUGCCCCGGCCUCGGGUCCCUCCCUGAAACGCGGCGUCAGAUGGUUACUGAUUAAUAUUUUGGAGAGGCCUUGGCGGCGGGCAGCGGCAAAAUCCGUUCUGGGUUGAGUCGCCGGGAGCUGCCCGCGGCAGACCUACCUGUCUAGGAGCGCUGGAAACGCCGGAUAAUCGCAGGGACCCCGCACCCGCAUCUCCGCAAACCCACAGGCUACCAAGUCCAGUUGGGCAUUACCCUCGAGGAAGGCUUUGGAGGGGCAGGAAUCCUUACCGUGGUGACAUUUUUUUUUUUUUUUUAAUUAAGAAAAGCCUGCUCUUUCGCCCUAUGCUGCAGAAUCAGCGUUUUCGCAUUUCUAUUUUUUAAUACAUCUUUCAGGCAACUUUUCUGGAGGGAGAAAAAAAAUGAGCUAGUUAGCGACCCAUUCGUUCUAUUUUCUUUUCUCCACUUUUAGAAAAAAAAAGAGGGGGGAGGGCUGGAAAGAGAACUGGGGGUGUCUAAUUUAAUUCCAGGAUAAAUUUGAGGAAAAAAAGUUCGGCCUCUUGAGGGCAGUUUCAAGUUGCCCUUCCUGGAGCCCCCUGCGUUGGUUUCUAGGCUGCCCUCUUUGGGAAGCUGGAGCUCCGCGCUGGGGGGUUGGGGGGAAGGAGAAAAGAACGAAAAUAGCCGGAGCCGAGGGGAACGACAGUGGUGACUGCGCUUGGAGCUCAGCUCGCGGGUCUCAGUGGCGGGCGGCCCGGGCCGCGGGAGGCACCCGGUGCAGCCCCGGGAUGACCAAGAGAAAAGUCGAAGAGAGGGGGGUUAGAGAAAGGAGUACUGGAGAUGUAACCAAGGGCCUCAUACAUACUAAACAUGCAGACUACACCCCAUACUAAGCAUACUGAGCUGCACCCCUUAAAAAAAGAAUCUGAAACUUCUGGAGACCUCACAAAAGUGGAAUCCUUGGCUAUCUGCCCUUCAGGACUGGCUUCUUUCAUGCAGCACCUGUGCAUCCUUGAGGUUCACAUUGGCGGAGAAAUCAAUGCCCUUCCUUUUUAGAGCUAUGUAAUAUUCCCUUGCCUAGCUACGUUAUAUUUUGUUUAUCCAUUCAUCUGUCCAAGGACACUCAGUGUUUCGAUCCAUUUUCUGUAGUUAUAACUGAGUAUCAUAGACCAGGUGAUCUACAGAGUGUAGCUUUAUGUAGCUCAUCACAGAGCUUGUGGCAGCACCCUCUGGCACAGACCUUGCUGCUGAGACACGGAGGUGGAGGGUAUCACACAGCAGGCCGGCACAGCUGCCAAGUAGAGCUGUUAGCAUAACAAGCCAUUCUCUCCAAAACCCAAGAGCCCACCAUUCUGUUCCUCUGUGACAAGACCCAGUCAUGCCCCAAAGGCCCAGCCACCACUUGCCACUCAUGUAUUUAGGAGCUGAGUUGCUAGUACCUGAAAUUUUGGGGAUGCAUGUAAACCGCUCCACAGAGUCACCUCCCCUGGUGGCACAUGUCACCUGUGCUGCUGUGGAGACCUCCUGAGGUGUGACUUACACUGAUUUGGAUCUGCACCCUGGGGGAACUGAGGAUCUUGGACAAUGCAGUUUUGUUUAUUUUGUUUAUUUUUUUCUGGUACUGGGGAUCAAACUCAGAACCUUGUGCU